This 1287-nucleotide long non-coding RNA is filed under the name Citrus sinensis (sweet orange). RNAcentral describes it as "long non-coding RNA (CSIN_LNC005160)". The record is from RNAcentral. Lineage: Eukaryota; Viridiplantae; Streptophyta; Magnoliopsida; Sapindales; Rutaceae.
AAAGGUAGAAUAAAGCUUCAAGCAUGUAUUCAAGCAGCAGUAAAUUACCAAGGUGAUACGAGAUGAACAUAUCCAAAAGAACAGCUUACCCGCAAAAAAGCACAUUCCUUCAACUUCUUCCGUAUAAUUGCUUCUGAAAGGUUAGGAAACUGCACAGACAACUCAUCUACACCAAUGCAGGGCAGCAAACCACGUUUUGCAGCGGCAGAAAAUUCACGAUAUACAUUUACCAGCAUCCUAUUUAUGCUAUACGUCUGAAGGUUUUUUGAUCCAGGAGACAUUACCUCCAUGAGGGGCUCCUGCAAAUAUAAUCAACAAAAUAUAAUUUAUUAAUCUCCUUCAAGAUUAUAAAAGCUCUGUUGAUGUACUGAAUUUGGAAGAUUUGCAUAUCAUAUUGGCAGUAAUGCUCAAUCGGGUAGGAUUUUAAGUUGAGUUAAAGUAGAAUAGUUUUCCUUUUAGCUGCUAUAGGUAGGCCUUGUUAUAUAUUCGAUAAAAGAGCUAAUGAUUAUUUGAGAAUAAAAAGCCAAAUCUCCCCCCCCCCCCCCCAUUAGACACCAUGUAACAUACUAAGGUAGGUGUUAUAAGUUAGCACUGAAUUUUAAAAAUGAACAAAAGUCCCAUUUAGGAAACCAAGGGCAAGGAAACAAAUCAUGCUAACCCAAUAACUCAUUUUGAAGAAAAUAAAAUUCUUAGAAACAGGUAAAACUUACUAAGCUCGUUGGAUACCUGAUAUGGUUGUAAUAAAAAAAUAAUAAUAAUUAAAAAAAAAACAGGUUUUGGUUAUGGAAAGCAAAAGGCAUCUGAAAUAUGUAUUAACUUACAUGCUCUGGAUACACUAAUUUUCUCAAAUCACCCUCAGACGGAAUGUGGAAGGUACGCUUCAUAGACCAAACCUGCUUUCCGUUUCCAUCCCGCUGUAGGUUGCAUUUGCAUGUUAAAAAAACAGGUGAGUAUAAUAAAAUAACAACUAUUAAAACAGGACAGAAAGGUAGAAUAAAGCUUCAAGCAUGUAUUCAAGCAGCAGUAAAUUACCAAGGUGAUACGAGAUGAACAUAUCCAAAAGAACAGCUUACCCGCAAAAAAGCACAUUCCUUCAACUUCUUCCGUAUAAUUGCUUCUGAAAGGUUAGGAAACUGCACAGACAACUCAUCUACACCAAUGCAGGGCAGCAAACCACGUUUUGCAGCGGCAGAAAAUUCACGAUAUACAUUUACCAGCAUCCUAUUUAUGCUAUACGUCUGAAGGUUUUUUGAUCCAGGAGACAUUACCUCCAUGAGGGGCUCCUGC